AUGAAGACUUGCCACAUGCAGCCUGCUGUACAUGGAGGAAACAGGGAACUUCCACCACAGACUGGGCUUCAGAAGUUGUCCAUCCCACCCAGGAUGGAGGGGCUGCAUGUCUGUACCCCCCUGGACGGAGUGGCUACACGUGUGUACCCACCCAGGACGGAGGGGCUGCACAUCUGUACCCACCCAGGAUGGAGGGGCUGCACAUCUGUACCCACCCAGGAUGGAUGGGCUGCAUGUCUGCACCCACCCGGGAUGGAGGGGCUGCACGUCUGCACCCACCCGGGAUGGAGGGGCUGCACGUCUGCACCCACCCUGGAUAGAGGGUCUGCACAUCUGCUGUACCCACCCGGGACGGAGGGGCUGCACGUCUGCUGUACCCACCCGGGAUGGAGGGGCUGCACGUCUGCUGUACCCACCCGGGAUGGAGGGGCUGCACGUCUGCACCCACCCAGGAUGGAGGGGCUGCACGUCUGCACCCACCCAGGACGGAGGGUCUGCACGUCUGCUGUACCCACCCAGGACGGAGGGGCUGCACGUCUGCUGUACCCACCCGGGAUGGAGGGGCUGCACGUCUGCACCCACCCAGGAUGGAGGGGCUGCACGUCUGCACCCACCCAGGAUGGAGGGUCUGCACGUCUGCUGUACCCACCCAGGACGGAGGGGCUGCACGUCUGCUGUACCCACCCGGGAUGGAGGGGCUGCACGUCUGCUGUACCCACUCAGGACGGAGGGGCUGCACAUCUGCUGUACCCACCCAGGAUGGAAGGGCUGCACGUCUGCUGUACCCACCCGGGAUGGAGGGGCUGCACGUCUGCUGUACCCACCCGGGAUGGAGGGGCUGCACGUCUGCUGUACCCACCCGGGAUGGAGGGGCUGCACGUCUGCUGUACCCACCCGGGAUGGAGGGGCUGCACGUUUUUACCCACCCGGGAUGGAGGGGUGCAUGUCUGUACCCACCCGGCAUGGAAGGGCUGCACGUCUGUACCUACCCGGGACGGAGGGGCUGCACAUCUGUACCCAUCCGGGACGGAGGGGCUGCACGUCUGUAUCCGGGGUUUCUGGACUGGAUGA
Molecule: long non-coding RNA, 1071 nt
Filed under: Rhinolophus ferrumequinum (greater horseshoe bat)
Lineage: Eukaryota; Metazoa; Chordata; Mammalia; Chiroptera; Rhinolophidae
Description: lncRNA (ENSRFEG00010015431.1)
Source: RNAcentral